GAUUUCUGAUGCGACCUGCCUGGCCCGCCGUGGUUACACGUGUGAGUGCCGGGUGUUGUCCGUCUGUCUUCCUGUUGCUAGUUGCCCUCUUCACUGAGUGGUGAUAUAGUGUCGGGAUCUUUUACUUUGAACAAAUUAGAGUGUUUCAAGCAGGCUUUAUGCUAUGAAUACAUUAGCAUGGAAUAAUAAUUUAGGACUUCGGUUCUAUUUUGUUGGUUUCUAGGACUGAAGUAAUGAUUGAUAGGGAUAGUUGGGGGUGCUAGUAUUCAGCGGCCAGAGGUGAAAUUCUCGGAUUCGCUGAAGACUAACUUAUGCGAAAGCAUU
Molecule: ribosomal RNA, 324 nt
Filed under: uncultured Allapsidae
Lineage: Eukaryota; Cercozoa; Glissomonadida; Viridiraptoridae
Description: SSU rRNA
Rfam family: Eukaryotic small subunit ribosomal RNA (bases 108-324)
Source: RNAcentral